CUAUGCCAAAGCGACUGUUUACUUCUACAAAGAAUGAAGACCCAAAGGUAUUAUUGAAGAACACAUCGACCUCAGAGGCAUGGCCCAGGAGCCACAGGAGCCAGAUCCACGGAGGACGGAGGUGUCAGAGCCCGGCCUGUGUUUCAGCAAAGCCAUCCUUCAAUCGUUUUUUGUUUUUUGUUUUUUUUUUACAAGGAGAUAUAUUUUCUUUUCCAAAGACUUUAAACCAAAGUAAAAAUAAAAUAUAUAUAUAUGUGUAUAGAUAGAUAGAUAUAAAUGAAUGCAUUUUGUAAAUACCUGUGUAAGUGCGCCUAUAGCUUGUAAAGGGACCAAUGCAAUUUAGAGUCAUUCCUGCAUGGAUCUAUUUCACCGACUUUCUUCACCAAGUCUCCAAAAACGAAAAAAAAAAAAGGAAGAACAAAAAACAGCCCAAUGUAAAUUUUUCAUUUGUUUUUGCUUAUUUAUUAAAACACAUAUUUUUGAAGAAAAAAUAUGCUUGAUUUUUUUUUAAAGACAGUUCAGCUGUAAAUUUGAAGCAAUGACAUAAAACCAUGUAGCUCAGCUGAAUAAAUUCCAAUAAAACCAGUCGAAGUCAUAAAAGUUUCUGCUGAACUUCCAUCCAAGAGGAUGAAAAUGGAACUUAAAACAAUAAGUCUCCUGGUGUCAGGUUUCCCCGAUGGCUGCUGGAUUAAGACAGAAAAAAAAACCUGAAAUAGCGACAGUGUUUUUAUUCUGCUGCUGGGUGUGAGAAGUUGCCCCCAAACGCCGACAUUUAAAAAAAAAAAGGCGACCAUAAAAAAUACAGCUUCAUUAACAGUGGACGAAAUUCGAGCCAGUUUGAAACUCGGGCUUAUAAAACUCUUGUCCGUUUAAAUAAGCAGGAAUCAGUUGAAAAAGCGAUGGCGGCCCUUUAACGAGCAGGGAGCCCCAACAGCCGCAGAUAAGGACAACAACUCUCAGCCAAAAAAAUCCAAAAUAAGUCAAUAACCGGACCCCAACUAGACGACUGAGGAAAUUCCUUUGAAUCUCUCCCUUCACUUUUAAACCAUUAAAAUUGUUUACAUCUCAUUUUCCCAGACGUGGCUAGAUACAAUCUGAAUCCUGAAAGCAGCUCAUUGUUAAUGGGGCAGCAGUGGAAAUGCUGGGCGGCUCUCUGCUCCACUGAGGCCUUAAAGCUCAAUUAUUAACUAACAAUACUGUCACUGCAACUGCAAGCGAAGCCAUAAUAUCUGUUUUACUCUACAUGGUGGAAAAUAUGAAGUAGUGAGGGGAUAACAGCUGCAUGAUGCUGCUGGAUUUCCACAGUCCAGCCGGGCAGACACUGCUAGUGUUUGUGAGGCUGUGUGAUGUCUCAGGAGCCGUGUGUGUGGUGUGAGGAGGAAACACCUGCAGCCACGGUGGCUUUAUCCUCCUGCUGG
RNAcentral lists this long non-coding RNA (1418 nucleotides) under Echeneis naucrates (live sharksucker). RNAcentral describes it as "lncRNA (ENSENLG00000011127.1)". Lineage: Eukaryota; Metazoa; Chordata; Actinopteri; Carangiformes; Echeneidae. The record is from RNAcentral.